GGAGUUAGUCGGUGCUUCUUCUGUGAGUGAUGUCCUUCCUGCCGGCUAUUAACCCGCAGGCCUUCUUCCUCACUGAAAGUGCUUUACAACCCGAAGGCCUUCUUCACACACGCGGCAUGGCUGGAUCAGGGUUGCCCACAUUGUCCAAUAUUCCCCACUGCUGCCUCCCGUAGGAGUCUGGGCCGUGUCUCAGUCCCAGUGUGGCUGAUCAUCCUCUCAGACCAGCUACGGAUCGUCGCCUUGGUGAGCCGUUACCUCACCAACCAGCUAAUCCGACAUAGGCUCAUCCGAUAGCGCGAGGCCCGAAGGUCCCCCGCUUUCCCCCGUAGGGCGUAUGCGGUAUUAGCCUGGGUUUCCCCAGGUUAUCCCCCACUACCGGGCAGAUUCCUAUGCAUUACUCACCCGUCCGCCGCUCGCCACCAGGGAGCAAGCUCCCCGUGCUGCCGCUCGACUUGCAUGUGUUAGGCCUGCCGCCAGCGUUCAAUCUGAGCCAGUGCUACAACUCACGAGAGCGGCGGCGCGACGACGGC
Molecule: ribosomal RNA, 530 nt
Filed under: uncultured bacterium
Lineage: Bacteria
Description: partial 16S ribosomal RNA
Source: RNAcentral